UUUUGACCUCGGAUCAGGUAGGGAUACCCGCUGAACUUAAGCAUAUCAU
This 49-nucleotide ribosomal RNA is filed under the name Alternaria sp. Its description in RNAcentral is "partial 28S ribosomal RNA". Lineage: Eukaryota; Fungi; Ascomycota; Dothideomycetes; Pleosporales; Pleosporaceae. The record is from RNAcentral. RNAcentral also lists the same sequence under 2 other names.